RNAcentral lists this non-coding RNA (92 nucleotides) under Cebus imitator (Panamanian white-faced capuchin). The record is from RNAcentral. Lineage: Eukaryota; Metazoa; Chordata; Mammalia; Primates; Cebidae.
GACUGGUCCAAGUUUACUACUAAUUGAUCACAACCUGGAGCAGAUUUCUUUCUUCCUUCUCUACCCUCACUGCUUCUCCUGACUAGCCUUAA